RNAcentral lists this long non-coding RNA (323 nucleotides) under Musa acuminata (dwarf banana). RNAcentral's name for it is "long non-coding RNA (MACU_LNC008938)". The record is from RNAcentral. Lineage: Eukaryota; Viridiplantae; Streptophyta; Magnoliopsida; Zingiberales; Musaceae.
CCCAGCUACGCGAUUGAUAUUAGACAUAUCAUCGCUCCUUUUAUAUAGCCCGUCGUACCUCAACUCAACUUAGUAUUUGGAACAGGUAUAUGCAAUGUAUAUGACCCGCCCAAGACUCAGGUGGGUUGGUUCGGUUUGGGUUAGUACUAUACGACAUAGUCCAAUCUCCUUCUCUAUUGGUUUGAGCUCAUUAAUUGACGAAAUCAAACAGGUUUGAUCAGUUAAAGCUGAUUUAGGGUGAUUCCAAACUAACUUGACUGGUUCAAACCUAUUUGACCUAAUCGAGAUCAAUCAAAUCUAAAUUAGACCGGUUUAGGGUGAUU